This 484-nucleotide ribosomal RNA is filed under the name uncultured bacterium. RNAcentral's name for it is "partial 16S ribosomal RNA". It matches the Rfam family "Bacterial small subunit ribosomal RNA", at positions 28 to 523 of the family's 1533-position model. The record is from RNAcentral.
GACGAACGCUGGCGGCGUGCUUAACACAUGCAAGUCGAACGAUGAAGCCGGAGCUUGCUCUGGUGAAUUAGUGGCGAACGGGUGAGUAACACGUGAGUAACCUGCCCUUGACUCUGGGAUAACUGCUAGAAAUGGUAGCUAAUACCGGAUACUACCCUCGGAGGCAUCUCCAGGGGGUGGACAGAAUUUGGGUCAAGGAUGGACUCGCGGCCUAUCAGCUAGUUGGUGAGGUAACGGCUCACCAAGGCGACGGCGGGUAGCCGGCCUGAGAGGGUGACCGGCCACACUGGGACUGAGACACGGCCCAGACUCCUACGGGAGGCAGCAGUGGGGAAUAUUGCACAAUGGGCGCAAGCCUGAUGCAGCAACGCCGCGUGAGGGAUGACGGCCUUCGGGUUGUAAACCUCUUUUAGUAGGGAAGAAGCGAAAGUGACGGUACCUGCAGAAAAAGCACCGGCUGACUACGUGCCAGCAGCCGCCGUAA